RNAcentral lists this ribosomal RNA (433 nucleotides) under uncultured bacterium. Its description in RNAcentral is "partial 16S ribosomal RNA". It matches the Rfam family "Bacterial small subunit ribosomal RNA", at positions 29 to 507 of the family's 1533-position model. The record is from RNAcentral.
AACGAACGCUGGCGGCAUGCCUAACACAUGCAAGUCGAACGAGACCGUCGGGUCUAGUGGCGCACGGGGGCGUAACGCGGGGGAACCUGCCCUUAGGUUCGGAAUAACUCCCCGAAAGGGGUGCUAAUACCGGAUAAUGUCUUCGGACCAACGAUUUAUCGCCUUUGGCUGGGCCCGCGUUGGAUUAGCUGGUUGGUAGGGUAAAAGCCUACCAAGGCGACGAUCCAUAGCUGGUCUGAGAGGAUGCUCAGCCACGCUGGGACUGCGACACGGCCCAGACUCCUACGGGAGGCAGCAGUGGGGAAUAUUGGACAAUGGGCGAAAGCCUGAUCCAGCAAUGCCGCGUGAGUGAUGAAGGCCUUAGGGUUGUAAAGCUCUUUUACCCGGGAUGAUAAUGACAGUACCGGGUGAAUAAGCUCCGGCUAACUCCGUG